AGAGUUUGAUCAUGGCUCAGGAUGAACGCUAGCGGCAGGCCUAAUACAUGCAAGUCGAGGGGCAGCGAGUCUAGCAAUAGAUGUCGGCGACCGGCGCACGGGUGCGUAACACGUAUACAAUCUGCCUUUAACAGGGGGAUAGCCCGGAGAAAUCCGGAUUAAUACCCCAUAACAGUGAUCCUGGCAUCAGGAACACUUAAAAGCUCCGGCGGUUAGAGAUGAGUAUGCGUCUGAUUAGCUAGUUGGUGAGGUAACGGCUCACCAAGGCGACGAUCAGUAGGGGAUCUGAGAGGAUUAACCCCCACACGGAUACUGAGACACGGAUCCGACUCCUACGGGAGGCAGCAGUAAGGAAUAUUGGACAAUGCCCGCAAGGGUGAUCCAGCCAUGCCGCGUGCAGGAAGAAGGCCCUAUGGGUCGUAAACUGCUUUUACACCGGAGAAAACCUCCCCUCGUGAGGGGAGCUGAUAGUAUGGUGAGAAUAAGCAUCGGCUAACUUCGUGCCAGCAGCCGCGGUAAGACGAAGGAUGCAAGCGUUAUCCGGAUUCAUUGGGUUUAAAGGGAGCGUAGGUGGACUGAUAAGUCAGUGGUGAAAUCUUUGGGCUUAACCCAAAAAUUGCCAUUGAUACUGUUGGUCUUGAGUAUAGUUGCCGUUGGCGGAAUAUGACAUGUAGUGGUGAAAUACAUAGAGAUGUCAUAGAACACCGAUUGCGAAGGCAGCUGACGAAACUAUAACUGACACUGAGGCUCGAAAGUGUGGGGAUCAAACAGGAUUAGAUACCCUAGUAGUCC
RNAcentral lists this ribosomal RNA (792 nucleotides) under uncultured bacterium. RNAcentral describes it as "bacterial SSU rRNA". It matches the Rfam family "Bacterial small subunit ribosomal RNA", at positions 8 to 796 of the family's 1533-position model. The record is from RNAcentral.